UGGGGAAUCUUGGACAAUGGGCGCAAGCCUGAUCCAGCCAUGCCGCGUGAGUGACGAAGGUCUUCGGAUUGUAAAGCUCUUUUGGCGGGGACGAUAAUGACGGUACCCGCAGAAUAAGCCCCGGCUAACUUCGUGCCAGCAGCCGCGGUAAUACGAAGGGGGCUAGCGUUGUUCGGAAUCACUGGGCGUAAAGCGCACGUAGGCGGAUUUGUCAGUCAGGGGUGAAAUCCCGGGGCUCAACCUCGGAACUGCCUUUGAUACAGCAAAUCUCGAGCUCGGAAGAGGUGAGUGGAAUUCCUAGUGUAGAGGUGAAAUUCGUAGAUAUUAGGAAGAACACCAGUGGCGAAGGCGGCUCACUGGUCCGUAGCUGACGCUGAGGUGCGAAAGCGUGGGGAGCAAACAG
This 403-nucleotide ribosomal RNA is filed under the name uncultured bacterium. RNAcentral describes it as "bacterial SSU rRNA". It matches the Rfam family "Bacterial small subunit ribosomal RNA", at positions 355 to 775 of the family's 1533-position model. The record is from RNAcentral.